RNAcentral lists this ribosomal RNA (395 nucleotides) under Pantoea sp. VI04. RNAcentral's name for it is "bacterial SSU rRNA". It matches the Rfam family "Bacterial small subunit ribosomal RNA", at positions 958 to 1354 of the family's 1533-position model. The record is from RNAcentral. Lineage: Bacteria; Pseudomonadati; Pseudomonadota; Gammaproteobacteria; Enterobacterales; Erwiniaceae.
AACGCGAAGAACCUUACCUGGUCUUGACAUCCACGGAAUUCGGCAGAGAUGCCUUAGUGCCUUCGGGAACCGUGAGACAGGUGCUGCAUGGCUGUCGUCAGCUCGUGUUGUGAAAUGUUGGGUUAAGUCCCGCAACGAGCGCAACCCUUAUCCUUUGUUGCCAGCGGCUCGGCCGGGAACUCAAAGGAGACUGCCGGUGAUAAACUGGAGGAAGGUGGGGAUGACGUCAAGUCAUCAUGGCCCUUACGACCAGGGCUACACACGUGCUACAAUGGCGCAUACAAAGAGAAGCGACCUCGCGAGAGCAAGCGGACCUCAUAAAGUGCGUCGUAGUCCGGAUUGGAGUCUGCAACUCGACUCCAUGAAGUCGGAAUCGCUAGUAAUCGGGAUCAGAA